CUAUUUUGUUUCUUGGAUUUACUGUGUAUGCCUGCAAAAAAACAAAUCUCAGGGUUGUACAUGAUGACAUAUGUACCUCGGUUAUUUAAUUUACUUUGAAUAAUUUACUGAAUAUACCAACCAUCAUGAAAAGCUACUGAAACUGAUUUGCAUAGGACCAUCCACCAAGAAGUAGUGGAGGUUUCAAACUUGCUUUGUGGAAGGGUAGCAGAGCAAGAAACAUUAAGUAGCGCCUAGUAUCACAAAGUACAUAGAUAUAACCUGAAGAUCCUUGGAUCAAGUGCUCGAAUGAGAGAUGAUGUUGAGAGAUAAUGAGAAAUAAAGGCCUUGUUUAGUUUUACAUUUUCUAAAUUAUUAUUCUCGUCCAUAAAGACACAAGCCAUAAUAUCAAACCCCAUGCUGCAAUGUCAAUACCUCCAAUAUAUUCCAAUUUCAUUUAAAAAGUAAAUGAAUGUGAAACCCCUUGCUAGCAAAAAGCAAUAGAUCUUCAUGAGCUUUCUCCAUACACAAGAUCACUUGAUUUGGGAUGAACAUCCACUGUUCAAUUAAGGUCAGCCCUUUCCUUCAGGGAUUUAGCCCAACCAUGAGCUAUAUUUUGGAGAAGCAUUAAGGCAAUUCUUGAGUACUUCAUUUGCAUUCACUGUAAUACUUAGCAGGAAACAUUGGACCAUUUAACAAGAGAAUGACCAUGAAUGCAAAUUCAGUUCUCAUUAAAAACUAGAAAGAACAAUAGGUCUCAGCAAAAUUUUGACCAGGAAUUGAAGUUCAAAGUAAAUUUAUUAUAAACAUACGGGUUAAGUACACCUUAUCCAAAAUGCUUGGUGUUUUGGCCAGAAGUGUUUUGGAUUUUGAAUAUAUCAUGAGAUAGCUUGGGCUUUCCAUAAUUUAUAACUCUGAAUUUAUGUUCUAACGGAAAGCAGUCUGACCUAAACUUGUUCAUCACACAGUUGUUCAGCAUGUUAAAUUUUGGCAACAAUUUUGGCAAACUCAAUUUCUCUACUGCUUUGUGAUCAGCAGAUGCUUUAUCAUCACGUCUUAAAAAUUUAAUGCCAUGCCUUUUCUUAAAUUUCUGCAACCAGCCAGCCGAAUAUUCACAAUUAUCUUCACAGUUCAUCAUGAUAUAGCUUUGCUUAUUUCAUUAUCAACAUAUCAUUUAGCAACAUAAGUUCACUCUUACCCUCAUAAACCCGCUCUUUCAAUAAAUGAUUGAGAUCUUGAUUUUUUAUUCUAUCCAGUUUAUCAUUAACUUCUAUUCAUUCCAUAUGUGAGGUCACUUCUCAGAACUGUCUGUGGGGUGAGAGCAUUGUGCAUUGCCCAAGAACCUUCCCAGUGCCUUGUGGAAUUUUCCAUUUGUGACAUGUCAGCACUCAAAAGAAAUUUUGAUUUUCUGUUUUCAAAUUUUGGAAUUUCAGAUAAGGAAGCACUAUAUACUAACCGGAAGUGGAAAGUCGUUUUGCUGUACAAUAUUACCUGAAAGUUAUAUAGCAACCCAGAGUGCCAAUGCUAAUUGGUAAUUCAUAUAAAAAUGGUCAGAAUUGUUUCUUGAGAGAACUAUUGGGUUUUUUGUAGAUAUCCCUAUAUUUAUUAUUCUCAACUGAUCGAAAAUCUGGAUAAUUAGGCUUUACUAUCAAUCUACACUACACCAUGUCAGAAGAGCAGUAAAUGCCAGAAGGUGAAAUUUCCACCAGAUGCAAAUUGAGGCAGAUUCCUUACAGAGGAUGUUUUAAAUGCAUUUUCUCAGUGGUUUUUGUGUAGGCUUAGCAAAAAUAUGUGGUACUUUAAACCUGAAAGUUUAUAAAUUCCAAGGAGCUGAUGGUCUGCAAUCCGUAGUUUUUAAAGACAGGGUUAUAAAGGAGGCAAAGCUCUUUUCACAUUCUAUACAUUUUGGAAAAGUGCCCACAGAUUGGCAAGUAGCAAAUGUGACCCUGCUAUUUAAGAAAGGUCAAAGAAAACGUGGAAAUAUUGACCUGCUAGCUGACAUUAGGAGUGAUGAAGAGGUUGCAAUCUUAAAGGAUUCUGUACAAGUUUACUGGGAAAUAAUGUGGAGGCACAGAGUCAAUAUGGACUGAUAUACUGAAUUUCUUAGGAAUAUAUCUCGUGGGAACCAUGGGUUAUGGUGUACUUGAUUUUCCAAAUUUUUCAAAAUGGUCCCUCAUGUGAGGUUAUGAAUAAGGUUCAUGCACGAGGGAUUGGGGAGAAUUUACUGGGGUAGAUUGAAAAUUAGUUAAUAUAUACAAAACUAAGAGAACCAAUAAACAAGACCUUUUUGGCUUGGUGGGCUAUGAUUUAUGGGAUACUAAAGGGCAUCAACUUGCUAAGGAAUAACGUGUUAUUAUUUCCAAACUUCUUUAGGAGGGAAAAUGUUAAAUAGGUUGAAAUUGCAAGAGUACUUGAGUACAAGAAUAAAAAUGUCUUGCUACGUUAUGGAUAAGAAGAGUUUAGAGAGAUGUGGGCCAAGUGCAGGUGAAUAGGGUUAGUAUAGAUAGGCAUCUUGGUUGACAUGGGCAAGUUGGGUCAAAAUACGCAUUUCUGUGCUUCAAAGCCUAAUUAUCUAUUCUUUUGGCAUCUCAGGUACUCUCAUUUUAAGAUAUUGUUUCCUUCAAAAUCAAGAGCAUAGAGUUGAUUUUGGUACCUAAUCCAAAAUAUUUUCUUUAGGAAUUCAUUCUCCUGAAAUCAUUUUCCCUGUGCAACAUCUCAUUUGCUGGAGAUGUACAGAAAGUGUUCUCAUUACAACUUAUUUGGCUCUCUUUUGUGCAUUAAGUAUAUAUUCUCAAGAACAAGGAAUUAAGAGCAGAAGUAAGGCACUUGGCUCCUCAAGCCUGCCCCAUCAAUCAACAUGAUCAUGGAUGAUUUAUGCUGCUUCAGCUCCUCUUCAGUCCAGUUGUCCAUAGUCCCUGUAUCUUUCAAAAAUUUGAACUAUUUCUGCCUUUUAUCUACAUCUCCAAUUAUCUAGUCUCUGCUACCCACUGGAGCAGCAAAUUCCAAAGGUCCACUGCCAGAGGAAAAAAUGGUUCCAUACACCACUUUUAAAUGAGCAUAUUCCUGCCUCUCUCACUGAUGAAAAUCUCAACAUCUCACCUGUCCCAUCAUCCCAUUUGGGAUCUAUGUUCAAAACCUUUGGUGCUUCUCAACAUGAAAAAAUAGCUUGAUAAGUUGUAAUCUAAGGGGAAAGAUGUUCACCAAUUUUUUUUAAAAAUCAACAUUUCAAAUCUUCACUUUAUACUCUAUUCACCAUCCAUCUCAGUGUUCCAGUCAUCUGGUUUCUUGGCAUCUGGAAUUUUUGUGGCUUGUCCCGGUCCUAAUUUUGUGUUGAGAGGCAAGAUAAAGUGCAAAUGAAUUAAUAUAUACUCCUCCUUCUGAGAAUUUCCUUUAUUUAAUUACUAAGACUUUCUUAAAUAGCUACCUCCCUGUAAUAAACUAAUUGCUCCCAAAAGCAAUGGAAUUUUUUUUCUUAGUGUACAUCUGCCACUAAUUAAGUCAAUCACCAGGAAUCAGACAGCUUACUAUGGUUCGCUAAAUGAUCUGUCAUGGUCUGGAUCGGUUCUCCUUUAAAUUUAGUUAGGUUGUGAUCUGGACCAUUGACCCCUUGUUCCCUUCUAAUUCCAUUUCACGUGUCCCUUGAGCUUGGCCAUCAAGGUAAUCUACCCUCGACCCGAACUGGCAGCUUAUAAACCCUUGGCUUUAGCCAUUCACGGCGAGAAUGUUAAGAAGCCUUCACAAGUCGCCGCCACUGCUACGACAAGCCAGAUCCAGCCCGCAUCGGAGUACCAGCAAUUCGCCUUCCGUCGCCAGAGUGGGUCCGGGCAAGGUCAAUCUACCAGGGCUGCAAUCCAGCUUGAAGAUAAAACAAGAUUUACAACUUUAAAAAUAGCUGAAAAAUGAAGACUAUUUUACUCUUGGUUAUUGACAAUGCCCAGUGUUCUACUGUUAUGCUCCAUCAUGGGCCCUCCCAAGCAUCGAGGAUAUCUUCAAAAGGCGGUGCCUCCGAAAGGUGGUAUCUGUCAUUAAGGACUCCCAUCACCUAGGACACGUCUUCUUUUCAUUUCUACUAUUGUAUCAUGGAGGAUGUACAGGAGCCUGAAGACGCAUAUUCAACAUUUUAAGAACAGCUUCUUCCCCUCUGCCAUCAGAUUUCUGAAUGGACAAUAAACUUACAUGCAUUACCUCACUUUUUUUCUUUUUUUUGCUCUACUUAUUUAAUUUCAUAUGUAUAUAUUUCUUAUUGUAACCUAGCUUUUUAUUUGUAUUGCAACGUACUGCUGCUGCAAAACAACAAAUUUCAUGACAUAUGCUAGUAAUAUUAAACCUGAUUCUGAUUCUGUAUUUUAUUAUUGUGAUACAUAUUCAGCUCCAUUAGGAAGUUCAGUUGUACAACAUAAUACUGAAAAUACUGAAAUUAAUAUAUCUACAUAAUUCCAAGCCACCUUUAUAAGUAUUGGGAGAAAGUAAAAUUAACUAAAGUUUAAGAAGUAGCAUGAACAGAGUUAAACAUCAUGAAUACAAUACAAAUGUCAAGGUAAUGACUGGUUUUAAAACAAAUUUAAUUACAGGUGUGAAUAAUUGUUGAGAGCUGAUAAGAAAGCAAUGACAAAACCCGUGUAUCAUUCUGCUUCCAAUUAAAAAGCAAGUAGGUUUCCUAGUUGUAACCCAAAAUGUAGACUUUGCAUCUUACUGCCAUCUGCAAUCUCCCUUCAAAUAGAUCAGACGGUUUGCCAGUGUUUGGAUGAAGAAAGAGAACUAGAAAAAGCACUUCUAUCUUCAUAUUUUCCCCCUUUCGUCAUAUUGAACAAAGAACA
This is a long non-coding RNA of Hypanus sabinus (Atlantic stingray), 4796 nucleotides long. RefSeq lists it as uncharacterized. The transcript has 3 exons. The record is from RefSeq and is a predicted model, not a curated record. Lineage: Eukaryota; Metazoa; Chordata; Chondrichthyes; Myliobatiformes; Dasyatidae.